RNAcentral lists this long non-coding RNA (242 nucleotides) under Pelobates cultripes (western spadefoot toad). Lineage: Eukaryota; Metazoa; Chordata; Amphibia; Anura; Pelobatidae. The record is from RNAcentral.
AGGGCCGGACUGGGAAAAAAAUUUGGCCCGGGCAUUUUUUUAUCACAGCGGCCCACUAAGAAGGGGGCGGGGCAGAGAGGGUGUGUUUUGUCAUCACUCAUGACAAACACGCCCCCUCUCAAAGUGAGCAUGUUAGUUCAAUGCUCUUCCAGGGCAGACCAUGCGCAGAGCUCUGCUGAAGAGCUCUAGCAUGAGAAAAAAGCCCUGUAUUUGUUCUGCGCAGUGCAAGCAAAUUUAAUAAC